UAAGGAUAAUGUUGAUAAGGAUAAUGGUUUUAUGACUUUCUUGAAAAUUUUCUGGUUCUUAUAACAAUACACAUUUGGAAACAUUGGUUUUAUUGUGAAGGCUUUGACUAGAAUGUCAUAUUUGAGAAUGUACAUAGAAUACCUGGCUUUAAAGUGUUCCCAGCCUUUCAGUGAGUAAAAAUGUCAUUUCUUGGCAGGCCCAGGAACUUCAAGAUAUUUUGAGGACCUUGAGAAGAGAGGAAUUCACCCAAAUUUACAAGUGUUACAGACACAGCCUGAUAGUCACAGAUUUGUAAGAAAAUUGAAGAGUGUGAUUUACAGCUAGUGCUGCCCUGUGGUGGUGUGGACCCAGACUUCAGGCACAAAGAUCACCGAUUUCACACAUCUGAUAGAUAAAUGAAGAAUUCAGAACCUGAUCAUAAGUUCAAGACAAGCUGCAAAAAAAGGAAGAAAAAUCCAAAGACCUUGGAAUAUAAUUCCAGCACCGUCAAACCCAGGAACAUGGACCCACAGGUUGAUCACGAAUUCCAGGACCUCCUUCACCACAUCCAAAGGCAAGUGGAGAGACAUUCCCAUCACCAUCUCUACCAGCACCACCUCUACCCGGAGGAGUUUCUCCUCCUCUUCCAACUCUUUCACCUGUACUAAAUGAUAAACCAUCACCACUAUCACCACCACUUUCAUUGGGGGAUGACAUGCUCUGGGAUUAUUGCCUGCUCUAACUUAACAAUGAGGCAGAAAUAAAAUGUAUACAACCUGAA
Molecule: long non-coding RNA, 761 nt
Organism: Lemur catta (Ring-tailed lemur)
Lineage: Eukaryota; Metazoa; Chordata; Mammalia; Primates; Lemuridae
Exons: 4
Source: RefSeq, a predicted model, not a curated record